GAUGAACGCUGGCGGCGUGCCUAAUACAUGCAAGUCGAGCGAACGGACGAGAAGCUUGCUUCUCUGAUGUUAGCGGCGGACGGGUGAGUAACACGUGGAUAACCUACCUAUAAGACUGGGAUAACUUCGGGAAACCGGAGCUAAUACCGGAUAAUAUUUUGAACCGCAUGGUUCAAAAGUGAAAGACGGUCUUGCUGUCACUUAUAGAUGGAUCCGCGCUGCAUUAGCUAGUUGGUAAGGUAACGGCUUACCAAGGCAACGAUGCAUAGCCGACCUGAGAGGGUGAUCGGCCACACUGGAACUGAGACACGGUCCAGACUCCUACGGGAGGCAGCAGUAGGGAAUCUUCCGCAAUGGGCGAAAGCCUGAUGGAGCAACGCCGCGUGAGUGAUGAAGGUUUUCGGAUCGUAAAACUCUGUUAUUAGGGAAGAACAUAUGUGUAAGUAACUGUGCACAUCUUGACGGUACCUAAUCAGAAAGCCACGGCUAACUACGUG
Molecule: ribosomal RNA, 497 nt
Filed under: uncultured bacterium
Lineage: Bacteria
Description: partial 16S ribosomal RNA
Rfam family: Bacterial small subunit ribosomal RNA
Source: RNAcentral